This 456-nucleotide ribosomal RNA is filed under the name uncultured bacterium. RNAcentral's name for it is "bacterial SSU rRNA". It matches the Rfam family "Bacterial small subunit ribosomal RNA", at positions 340 to 786 of the family's 1533-position model. The record is from RNAcentral.
UACGGAAGGCAGCAGUGGGGAAUAUUGCACAAUGGGCGAAAGCCUGAUGCAGCUAUGCCGCGUGUAUGAAGAAGGCCUUAGGGUUGUAAAGUACUUUCAUCGGGGAGGAAAAACAAAACUAAUAAUUUUAUUUCUUGACGUUACCCGAAAAAGAAGCGCCGGCUAACUCCGUGCCAGCAGCCGCGGUAAUACGGAGGGUGCUAGCGUUAAUCAGAAUUACUGGGCGUAAAGAGCACGUAGGUGGUUUUUUUAAAGUCAGAUGUGAAAUCCCUGGGCUUAACCUAGGAACUGCAUUUUGAAACUGAAAUACUAGAGUAUCGUAGAGGGAGGUAGAAUUCUAGGUGUAGCGGUGAAAUGCGUAGAUAUCUGGAGGAAUACCUGUGGCGAAAGCGGCCUCCUAAACGAAUACUGACACUGAGGUGCGAAAGCGUGGGGAGCAAACAGGGAUUAGAUACC